GUGAGGAAUAUUGGUCAAUGGGCGAGAGCCUGAACCAGCCAAGUCGCGUGAAGGAAGAAGGAUCUAUGGUUCGUAAACUUCUUUUGCAGGGGAAUAAAGUGCAGGACGUGUCCUGUUUUGUAUGUACCCUGAGAAUAAGGAUCGGCUAACUCCGUGCCAGCAGCCGCGGUAAUACGGAGGAUCCGAGCGUUAUCCGGAUUUAUUGGGUUUAAAGGGUGCGUAGGUGGUUUGAUAAGUCAGCGGUGAAAGUUUGCAGCUUAACUGUAAAAAUGCCGUUGAAACUGUCGGACUUGAGUGUAAAUGAGGUAGGCGGAAUGCGUGGUGUAGCGGUGAAAUGCAUAGAUAUCACGCAGAACUCCGAUUGCGAAGGCAGCUUACUAAGCUACAACUGACACUGAAGCACGAAAGCGUGGGGAUCAAACAGGAUUAGAUACCCGUGGUAGUCC
RNAcentral lists this ribosomal RNA (446 nucleotides) under uncultured bacterium. RNAcentral describes it as "partial 16S ribosomal RNA". It matches the Rfam family "Bacterial small subunit ribosomal RNA", at positions 354 to 796 of the family's 1533-position model. The record is from RNAcentral.